UCGGGAAUUUUGGGCAAUGGGCGAAAGCCUGACCCAGCAACGCCGCGUGAAGGAUGAAGUAUUUCGGUAUGUAAACUUCGAAAGAAUAGGAAGAAUAAAUGACGGUACUAUUUAUAAGGUCCGGCUAACUACGUGCCAGCAGCCGCGGUAAUACGUAGGGACCAAGCGUUGUUCGGAUUUACUGGGCGUAAAGGGCGCGCAGGCGGCAAUUCAAGUCAUCUGUGAAAUCUCCGGGCUUAACUCGGAACGGUCAGAUGAUACUGCUUUGCUAGAGUGCAGAAGGGGCAAUCGGAAUUCUUGGUGUAGCGGUGAAAUGCGUAGAUAUCAAGAGGAACACCUGAGGUGAAGACGGGUUGCUGGGCUGACACUGACGCUGAGGUGCGAAAGCGUGGGGAGCAAACAGGAUUAGAUACCCCCGUAGUCCCUGAGCGGGCUGGCAAGGCGCAU
RNAcentral lists this ribosomal RNA (447 nucleotides) under uncultured bacterium. RNAcentral's name for it is "bacterial SSU rRNA". It matches the Rfam family "Bacterial small subunit ribosomal RNA", at positions 355 to 825 of the family's 1533-position model. The record is from RNAcentral.